This 764-nucleotide ribosomal RNA is filed under the name uncultured archaeon. RNAcentral describes it as "bacterial SSU rRNA". It matches the Rfam family "Archaeal small subunit ribosomal RNA", at positions 1 to 772 of the family's 1478-position model. The record is from RNAcentral.
UUCCGGUUGAUCCUGCCGGACCUGACUGCUAUCGGAUUGAUACUAAGCCAUGCGAGUCAUUGUAGCAAUACAAGGCAGACGGCUCAGUAACGCGUAGUCAACCUAACCUAUGGAUGGGAAUAACCUCGGGAAACUGAGAAUAAUGCCCAAUAGAACACUAUGCCUGGAAUGGUUUGUGUUCCAAAUGAUUUAUCGCCGUAGGAUGGGACUGCGGCCUAUCAGUUUGUUGGUGAGGUAAUGGCCCACCAAGACUAUUACAGGUACGGGCUUUGAGAGGAGUAGCCCGGAGAUGGGUACUGAGACACGGACCCAGGCCCUAUGGGGCGCAGCAGGCGAGAAAACUUUGCAAUGUGCGAAAGCACGACAAGGUUAAUCCGAGUGAUUUGUGCUAAGCGAAUCUUUUGUUAGUCCUAGAAACACUAACGAAUAAGGGGUGGGCAAGUUCUGGUGUCAGCCGCCGCGGUAAAACCAGCACCUCAAGUGGUCAGGAUGAUUAUUGGGCCUAAAGCAUCCGUAGCCGGCUCUGUAAGUUUUCGGUUAAAUCUGUAUGCUCAACAUACAGGCUGCCGGGAAUACUGCAGAGCUAGGGAGUGGGAGAGGUAGACGGUACUCGGUAGGAAGGGGUAAAAUCCUUUGAUCUAUUGAUGACCACCUGUGGCGAAGGCGGUCUACCAGAACACGUCCGACGGUGAGGGAUGAAAGCUGGGGGAGCAAACCGGAUUAGAUACCCGGGUAGUCCCAGCUGUAAACUAUGCAAACUCAGU